RNAcentral lists this non-coding RNA (27 nucleotides) under Mus musculus (house mouse). The record is from RNAcentral. Lineage: Eukaryota; Metazoa; Chordata; Mammalia; Rodentia; Muridae.
UCAGAAGAAGUGGAGCUGCAUAGAAGC